GCCCCGGCGGAGCGGGAGGCGGCGGAGGGGCCGGGCCGGACCGGGCUCCCCGGGAGCCGCCGCGGGGUCCGCGCCCUCGGUGGGGGGGGGGACCCCAUGAUUCUCCCCCGGGUGCUCUCCUGUGCUGUUCUGCUCCUCCUGCUCGUGGCCGUGCUGAGCAGAGGCAAGAGGUGCAGCAUUGCCAAAAUCCUCCGGCAGUACCGUGCCGUCAUCUUCCACGAGAUCCAGAACCUGAAAAACUUAUCAGGGUCGGCAGACAGGAGUGGAAGGGUCAGACUUGCGUGUCGCUCGGACAAGGACCAGAAGAUCCUGCUCUCCAUCUACAACAUCAGCAUGUCCCUGCGGGAGGUGGCGGCUGGCACCCUGCGCGGCCCCGAGGAGCUGGCAGUGUGGAAGGUGGCCAGAAACACUGACUUCGUGUUCAGGGAGAACUGCAGGAAAAUCAGCAAGAGCCCGCUGCACGUCCCGGCACAGCCCCGGCCUGGGGGUCCUGGCCGCAGGAGGAAGCAGCUGCGGGAGAUUGGGAGGAAGGCAGAGAAGCUGGCGACCUGCUGGGAGAAGCUCUACGCCCUGCACGCACCCCACCGUGCCCCCCGGGACUCGUAGGGACGCCCUCGCCACGCGCCGGUGGGGGGAUGCGCUGCUCCGACACCGCGGCUGCCGGCAUCUUGUUUGUGGAAACCUGGGGAAAAUUCAACCCUGGAGGCAGCGGAGUCAUUCCUCCCGUUUCAAGCGGUACCUGGGGACGGGCCCCAUCGCCCGUGGUGGGGGCUGGCGGGGUUGGUUUGGCUGCUCAGGAAGCUGGGACACCAGAAACACGCGGGAGAAGAAGGGGAAGAGCUGAAAAAAGGAGUCGAGGUGUUGGAUUUCUGCCAUGCUCCUGGCCCCGCGUCACCUGCUGCUUUCUUGGGGACAACGGUGGCUUUUGGGGGCAGGAAGAGGACAUGUGGGGCCACGGUUUGGAGGACUCUGCUGGAAGUGGGACCGUUGUGCAUUCGUAAAGCUCUGAGGGUGGCUGGGCUGCGGAGAGGGACGUGUGUCCCCCGUGCACUGCUGGGACCUGUGGUGGCCAGGGAAGCUGGGGUGCAUCCAGAGGGGCUGUGGGAAGUCUGGGGAGUGCUGGUGCCCCCCCGAGAAGCAGCAAAAGCCCAGGCAGCUGUGGGGGCUUGAGACCAAGGCUUGAACCAGAGGGACCCAGCUGCCUGGCACUGCAGGUGCCCCAGAUCCCCCUGGUGACUUGAGUCCUGAGGGACAUGGGGUUCGUUGAGCUGAGGAGCAUCCUUCUUCAUCCCUGCGUUCUGCCAGUGCCCUGGCCGGGGUCCCUGCUCCCCCCUCGGGUGGCAAACAGUCUCUGGGAAGCCAGAAAUAAACCCCUUCCUUCCCUGGAAGCCCUUUGGGUG
RNAcentral lists this long non-coding RNA (1400 nucleotides) under Calidris pugnax (ruff). RNAcentral's name for it is "lncRNA (ENSCPUG00000006732.1)". Lineage: Eukaryota; Metazoa; Chordata; Aves; Charadriiformes; Scolopacidae. The record is from RNAcentral.